GUGACAGCCGCCGCGGUAAUACGGAGGGUGCAAGCGUUGUUCGGAAUCACUGGGCGUAAAGGGCGCGUAGGCGGUUUGAUAAGUCAGAUGUGAAAGCCCACGGCUUAACCGUGGAAGUGCAUUUGAUACUGUUAGACUUGAGUACCAGAGGGGAAAGUGGAAUUCCCGGUGUAGAGGUGAAAUUCGUAGAUAUCGGGGGGAAUACCGGUGGCGAAGGCGACUUUCUGGCUGGAUACUGACGCUGAGGCGCGAAAGCGUGGGGAGCAAACAGGAUUAGAAACCCUGGUAGUCC
RNAcentral lists this ribosomal RNA (292 nucleotides) under uncultured bacterium. RNAcentral's name for it is "partial 16S ribosomal RNA". It matches the Rfam family "Bacterial small subunit ribosomal RNA", at positions 505 to 796 of the family's 1533-position model. The record is from RNAcentral.